CUCGUACUUCAACUAUCUGAAAAUUGGCCUCAAACAAAGGCCUUCAAGCAGCUCACAGAAAAAAGUAGUCAUGUUGUUUUGUCUCAUCUCCUGCACACAUGUCUCAAACGUUCAUGCACUGGACAUUACAGCACGUUCCUUUACUCCAGAUGGUGUUUCCUUUGUCAUUUCAAGACAUACGAAAACAUCCAUUAGCUCGGUCUUUUAUACAGCUCUUGCACAUAAU
Non-coding RNA from Pelobates cultripes (western spadefoot toad), 226 nucleotides. The record is from the annotation of a GenBank genome assembly. Lineage: Eukaryota; Metazoa; Chordata; Amphibia; Anura; Pelobatidae.